AGUCACUGACAUUAGAUACCCCCGGUAGUCCAGGGUGUAAACGCUGCAGACUUGGUGUUGGAGGCCCUUUGGGGGCAUUCAGUGCCGGAGAGAAGUUGUUAAGUCUGCUACUUGGGGAGUACGUCCGCAAGGAUGAAACUUAAAGGAAUUGCGGGGGAGCACCGCAACGGGAGGAGCGUGCGGUUUAAUUGGAUUCAACACCGUAAAACUCACCAGGGAAGACUGUUACAUGAAGGCCGAGAUGAAGACUCUGCUAGAUUUUCAG
This 265-nucleotide ribosomal RNA is filed under the name uncultured archaeon. RNAcentral describes it as "partial 16S ribosomal RNA". It matches the Rfam family "Archaeal small subunit ribosomal RNA", at positions 715 to 982 of the family's 1478-position model. The record is from RNAcentral.